UUACUUGACAAUUGGCAUUUUGAUCUUGGAUGUGUUGUCUCUCCACUUCCUUGGCUGGAUAAUGAGAAACUUCAUUCACUAUUGGAGAAAAAAAAGGGAAUCUAGUGUGGCAGAGUAGAAUCUGUUCAAAAAGGGCUACCUUAUUAUCUAUUGAGAAUUUCAAGAUCUUUUUCUACCUUAUUGUGAAGGCUGAUGGUUCUUCUAGUGAAUGUUGUUUUUGUGUAUAGGGAUUCCAUAAGAAGUUAGAAAAAGUUCGACUUGAUGAUAUAUUUCCUGAUAUUUUCACUUUGUUUAGUGCAAAGUAAAAUAUUAGCAUUCAGGGUCUAUGUAUUGCAAAUGAUAGCAAUAAAACACCAUCUUACAGUUGAUUUUAUGAUAGUGUUCUUUUUCCCUCUG
Molecule: unclassified non-coding RNA, 396 nt
Filed under: Hevea brasiliensis (rubber tree)
Lineage: Eukaryota; Viridiplantae; Streptophyta; Magnoliopsida; Malpighiales; Euphorbiaceae
Source: RNAcentral